RNAcentral lists this ribosomal RNA (942 nucleotides) under uncultured marine bacterium. Its description in RNAcentral is "bacterial SSU rRNA". It matches the Rfam family "Bacterial small subunit ribosomal RNA", at positions 51 to 1033 of the family's 1533-position model. The record is from RNAcentral.
ACACAUGCAGUCGAACGAACCUUCGGGUUAGUGGCGGACGGGUGAGUAACGCGUGAGAAUCUGCCCUCAGGAGGGGGAUAACAGCUGGAAACGGCUGCUAAUACCCCAUAUGCCGCGAGGUGAAAUGAAUUUCGCCUGAGGAUGAGCUCGCGUCUGAUUAGCUAGUUGGUGUAGGUAAUGGCUCACCAAGGCAUCGAUCAGUAGCUGGUCUGAGAGGAUGAUCAGCCACACUGGGACUGAGACACGGCCCAGACUCCUACGGGAGGCAGCAGUGGGGAAUUUUCCGCAAUGGGCGAAAGCCUGACGGAGCAACGCCGCGUGAGGGAUGAAGGCCUCUGGGCUGUAAACCUCUUUUAUCAAGGAAGAAGAUCUGACGGUACUUGAUGAAUAAGCCACGGCUAAUUCCGUGCCAGCAGCCGCGGUAAUACGGGAGUGGCAAGCGUUAUCCGGAAUUAUUGGGCGUAAAGCGUCCGCAGGCGGCCCUUCAAGUCUGCUGUUAAAAAGUGGAGCUUAACUCCAUCAUGGCAGUGGAAACUGAGGGGCUUGAGUGUGGUAGGGGCAGAGGGAAUCCCCGGUGUAGCGGUGAAAUGCGUAGAUAUCGGGAAGAACACCAGUGGCGAAGGCGCUCUGCUGGGCCAUCACUGACGCUCAUGGACGAAAGCCAGGGGAGCGAAAGGGAUUAGAUACCCCUGUAGUCCUGGCCGUAAACGAUGAACACUAGGUGUCGGGGGGAAUCGACCCCCUCGGUGUCGUAGCCAACGCGUUAAGUGUUCCGCCCUGGGGAGUACGCACGCAAGUGUGAAACUCAAAGGAAUUGACGGGGGCCCGCACAAGCGGUGGAGUUAUGGUUGGUUUAAUUCGAUGCAACGCGAAGAACCUUACCAGGGUUUGACAUCCUGCGAAUCUCUUGGAAAACGAGAGAGUGCCUUCGGGAACGCAGUG